UGGGGAAUAUUGCACAAUGGGCGCAAGCCUGAUGCAGCCAUGCCGCGUGUGUGAAGAAGGCCUUCGGGUUGUAGAGCACUUUCAGCGGGGAGGAAGGCGAUAAGGUUAAUAACCUCAUCGAUUGACGUUACCCGCAGAAGAAGCACCGGCUAACUCCGUGCCAGCAGCCGCGGUAAUACGGAGGGUGCAAGCGUUAAUCGGAAUUACUGGGCGUAAAGCGCACGCAGGCGGUCUGUCAAGUCGGAUGUGAAAUCCCCGGGCUCAACCUGGGAACUGCAUUCGAAACUGGCAGGCUAGAGUCUUGUAGAGGGGGGUAGAAUUCCAGGUGUAGCGGUGAAAUGCGUAGAGAUCUGGAGGAAUACCGGUGGCGAAGGCGGCCCCCUGGACAAAGACUGACGCUCAGGUGCGAAAGCGUGGGGAGCAAACAGG
RNAcentral lists this ribosomal RNA (429 nucleotides) under Chloroflexota bacterium. Its description in RNAcentral is "Chloroflexi bacterium partial 16S ribosomal RNA". It matches the Rfam family "Bacterial small subunit ribosomal RNA", at positions 355 to 776 of the family's 1533-position model. The record is from RNAcentral. Lineage: Bacteria; Bacillati; Chloroflexota.